CUUUAUCGUUUAAUAUAUCCUCUGGGAUUUGAGUAGCUACUCGUCCAGCGCUCCUCUUGGAGUUAAUAGUGACGAGAGCAGCAUUUUCAACAUCUCUAUUAGAACCAUCCAAAUUAUUUUCCUUCCUAUUUUUUUUGCCAACAAAACGACGUUUUGGAAUUGAUUUUUUCACUUCCGCCAUUGUGUUUUAAAAUUAUAAAGUCUAUUACUAAAACCCUUUGAAAUCCCAAGAAGUAACCAAUGCUAU
Molecule: non-coding RNA, 247 nt
Organism: Schizosaccharomyces pombe (fission yeast)
Lineage: Eukaryota; Fungi; Ascomycota; Schizosaccharomycetes; Schizosaccharomycetales; Schizosaccharomycetaceae
Source: the annotation of a GenBank genome assembly